GGGCCCGCACAAGCGGUGGAGUAUGUGGUUUAAUUCGAUGCAACGCGAAGAACCUUACCAGGGUUUGACAUCCUGCGAAUCUCUUGGAAACUUGAGAGUGCCUUUGGGAACACUGUGACAGGUGUUGCAUGGCUGUCGUCAGCUCGUGUCGUGAGAUGUAUGGUUAAGUCCAGUAACGAGCGCAACCCUUAUCCUUAUUUGCCAGCACUUCGGGUGGGAACUUUAAGGAGACUGCCGUGAAUAACACGGAGGAAGGUGGGGACGACGUCAAGUCAUCAUGGCCCUUACGGGUUGGGCUACACACGUGCUACAAUGGGAGAUACAGACGGUUGCGAAAGCGCGAGCUGGAG
RNAcentral lists this ribosomal RNA (350 nucleotides) under uncultured bacterium. Its description in RNAcentral is "bacterial SSU rRNA". It matches the Rfam family "Bacterial small subunit ribosomal RNA", at positions 917 to 1267 of the family's 1533-position model. The record is from RNAcentral.